CUCUACGGCCAUACCACCCUGAACACGCCCGAUCUCGUCUGAUCUUGGAAGCUAAGCAGGGUUGGGCCUGGUUAGUACUUGGAUGGGAGAUAAAAAAGAUAAAAAAGACUGGGAAACACUACUGAAGGAC
Molecule: ribosomal RNA, 130 nt
Filed under: Heterocephalus glaber (naked mole-rat)
Lineage: Eukaryota; Metazoa; Chordata; Mammalia; Rodentia; Bathyergidae
Source: RNAcentral